GUCGCAGGGCAGGGCUGGGCUGUGCUGGACAGUGGCCACUCGAGUAGGGCGGCCUCCUGUCCUCU
RNAcentral lists this microRNA precursor (65 nucleotides) under Ochotona princeps (American pika). RNAcentral describes it as "miRNA (ENSOPRG00000021415.1)". The record is from RNAcentral. Lineage: Eukaryota; Metazoa; Chordata; Mammalia; Lagomorpha; Ochotonidae.